UACGGAGGAUGCAAGCGUUAUCCGGAUUCAUUGGGUUUAAAGGGCGCGUAGGCGGACUAUUAAGUCAGUGGUGAAAGCCUGCAGCUUAACUGCAGAACUGCCAUUGAUACUGAUAGUCUUGAGUUUGGUUAAGGUAGGCGGAAUGUGUAAUGUAGCGGUGAAAUGCUUAGAUAUUACACAGAACACCAAUUGCGUAGGCAGCUUACAGAGCCGACACUGACGCUGAGGCACGAAAGCGUGGGGAUCGAACA
This 251-nucleotide ribosomal RNA is filed under the name uncultured prokaryote. RNAcentral describes it as "partial 16S ribosomal RNA". It matches the Rfam family "Bacterial small subunit ribosomal RNA", at positions 524 to 774 of the family's 1533-position model. The record is from RNAcentral.